Non-coding RNA from Microcebus murinus (gray mouse lemur), 823 nucleotides. Lineage: Eukaryota; Metazoa; Chordata; Mammalia; Primates; Cheirogaleidae. The record is from RefSeq and is a predicted model, not a curated record.
CCAAUAGCUCCGCAGAGUCUCCUUCCGGGAUCAGACACUGAGGGGCACAGCAGUGGGAAGAAUGGCGGUCCCACUUAGGGCAAACUGUGCUGCUGGGCCCAAGCUGUGCUAGAGGAAGGUCUUCCUCACACGGAGCUCUUCUCCUGAAGCAUUGGCCUCCAUGUCUAGGACAACUUUUUAUCCAAGAGCCUCCUCGGCCACAGCAGGCGGCAAUUCCUGGAUUGUGCUGAGCCAUCCCUCUCUCUGGAGAGUUUCCUGGGCUCCCGGGACAGUGCCCUGAUCCAGGUCGGCCCACUGCCUUGUGGCGACUGCGUCCAGUGGAGAGACUGCCUGCCUGAGGAGUUAGAGGAUGUCUCAAGGUGUCGCUGACACUCCUCGGCCAUUCCCUCUGUCCCAGAGAGAGUCCUGGAGAUGUCGGACCAUCAUUCAUCCAUGCUCUGCCCUCUCGGCUGGUUCCUCUCCUGGUGUUUGUGUCUGACACAUCACCAACCGCACUCUGCCUUCUGGUGUGCCAUUCUCCCUCACUGCAGUGUAACUACCUGAAGCCUAUCGCAACCCCUAUGAACUACCCACAGAGAUGAACAACUCAGACGGGACUUCGAGAGGGAGCCAUGGCCCAGCUGCAAGACCAGGGCUUCCUGGCAACCCGCAUACUGGUCCUUUCAAGUUCCCCUGAGCAUCCAAGCCAUGAGCACACUUGCCCUUAGCAGCCACUGGCCAAGGACUGAGACCAGCAGGGGCACGUGGCCUGGCCCUUCUCAUGCUCAAAAGCUGCUGAGAUGGGCUGGCAGAGACUGUGAGGUCCCCAGUGCUAUCUGAUGGU